AACCAUAGAAACCUGCGGAGUACCUGCGGAAGGAUCAUUACAGAGUUGCAAAACUCCCUAAACCAUCGCGAACGUUACCCAUUCGUUGCUUCGGCGGGCGGGGCCCCAGCGCCCCCCCCAGGCCCCCCGCGGGCGCCCGCCGGAGGUACCCAAACUCUUGAAAAUGUAUGGCCUCUCUGAGUAUUUUACUUAAAUAAGUCAAAACUUUUAACAACGGAUCU
Molecule: unclassified non-coding RNA, 221 nt
Filed under: soil metagenome
Description: partial contains 5.8S ribosomal RNA, internal transcribed spacer 2, and large subunit ribosomal RNA
Source: RNAcentral